This 292-nucleotide ribosomal RNA is filed under the name uncultured bacterium. RNAcentral's name for it is "partial 16S ribosomal RNA". It matches the Rfam family "Bacterial small subunit ribosomal RNA", at positions 505 to 796 of the family's 1533-position model. The record is from RNAcentral.
GUGUCAGCAGCCGCGGUAAUACGUAGGGGGCGAGCGUUGUCCGGAUUUACUGGGCGUAAAGCGCGUGUAGGCGGCGUGCCAAGUCCGGGGUGAAAGGCGGGGGCUCAACCCCCGAGCUGCGCUGGAAACUGGCAGGCUUGAGUGUCGGAGAGGGGAGUGGAAUUCUCGGUGUAGCGGUGAAAUGCGUAGAGAUCGAGAGGAACACCCGUGGCGAAGGCGGCUCCCUGGCCGAACACUGACGCUGAGACGCGAAAGCGCGGGGAGCGAACGGGAUUAGAUACCCUGGUAGUCC